GGUCCGGUAGCUCAGUUGGAUAGAGCAACAGCCUUCUAAGCUGUGGGUCGUGGGUUCGACCCCCGCCCGGAUCA
RNAcentral lists this transfer RNA (74 nucleotides) under Dysgonamonadaceae bacterium. RNAcentral describes it as "tRNA-Arg". It matches the Rfam family "tRNA". From Rfam's summary of the family: Transfer RNA (tRNA) molecules are approximately 80 nucleotides in length. Their secondary structure includes four short double-helical elements and three loops (D, anti-codon, and T loops). The record is from RNAcentral. Lineage: Bacteria; Pseudomonadati; Bacteroidota; Bacteroidia; Bacteroidales; Dysgonomonadaceae.